AGCGAACGCUGGCGGCAGGCUUAACACAUGCAAGUCGAGCGGGCGUAGCAAUACGUCAGCGGCAGACGGGUGAGUAACGCGUGGGAACGUACCUUUUGGUUCGGAACAACACAGGGAAACUUGUGCUAAUACCGGAUAAGUCCUUACGGGGAAAGAUUUAUCGCCGAAAGAUCGGCCCGCGUCUGAUUAGCUUGUUGGUGAGGUAACGGCUCACCAAGGCGACGAUCAGUAGCUGGUCUGAGAGGAUGAUCAGCCACAUUGGGACUGAGACACGGCCCAAACUCCUACGGGAGGCAGCAGUGGGGAAUAUUGGACAAUGGGGGAAACCCUGAUCCAGCCAUGCCGCGUGAGUGAUGAAGGCCCUAGGGUUGUAAAGCUCUUUUGUGCGGGAAGAUAAUGACGGUACCGCAAGAAUAAGCCCCGGCUAACUUCGUGCCAGCAGCCGCGGUAAU
RNAcentral lists this ribosomal RNA (452 nucleotides) under uncultured bacterium. RNAcentral's name for it is "bacterial SSU rRNA". It matches the Rfam family "Bacterial small subunit ribosomal RNA", at positions 29 to 524 of the family's 1533-position model. The record is from RNAcentral.